RNAcentral lists this ribosomal RNA (500 nucleotides) under uncultured bacterium. RNAcentral describes it as "partial 16S ribosomal RNA". It matches the Rfam family "Bacterial small subunit ribosomal RNA", at positions 30 to 523 of the family's 1533-position model. The record is from RNAcentral.
AUUGAACGCUGGCGGCAUGCUUUACACAUGCAAGUCGAACGGUAACAGGGUGCUUGCACCGCUGACGAGUGGCGAACGGGUGAGUAAUGCGUCGGAACGUGCCGAGUAGUGGGGGAUAACGCAGCGAAAGUUGUGCUAAUACCGCAUACGUACUGAGGUAGAAAGUGGGGGACCUUCGGGCCUCACGCUAUUCGAGCGGCCGACGUCUGAUUAGCUAGUAGGUGAGGUAAAGGCUCACCUAGGCGACGAUCAGUAGCGGGUCUGAGAGGAGGAUCGGCCACACUGGGACUGAGACACGGCCCAGACUCCUACGGGAGGCAGCAGUGGGGAAUUUUGGACAAUGGGCGAAAGCCUGAUCCAGCCAUGCCGCGUGUCUGAAGAAGGCCUUCGGGUUGUAAAGGACUUUUGUCAGGGAGGAAAUCCCUAGUGCUAAUAACACUGGGGGAUGACAGUACCUGAAGAAUAAGCACCGGCUAACUACGUGCCAGCCGCCGCAGUAA